AGCAGUCGCCGCGGUAAUACGUAGGUGGUAAGCGUUGUCCGGAAUUAUUGGGCGUAAAGGGCUCGCAGGCGGUUUCUUAAGUCUGAUGUGAAAGCCCCCAGCUCAACCGGGGAGGGUCAUUGGAAACUGGGAAACUUGAGUGCAGAAGAGGAGAGUGGAAUUCCACGUGUAGCGGUGAAAUGCGUAGAGAUGUGGAGAAACACCAGUGGCGAAGGCGACUCUCUGGUCUGUAACUGACGCUGAGGAGCGAAAGCGUGGGGAGCGAACAGGAUUAGAUACCCCCGUAGUCCCUGUCUCUUAUAC
This 303-nucleotide ribosomal RNA is filed under the name uncultured bacterium. Its description in RNAcentral is "partial 16S ribosomal RNA". It matches the Rfam family "Bacterial small subunit ribosomal RNA", at positions 507 to 807 of the family's 1533-position model. The record is from RNAcentral.